Molecule: ribosomal RNA, 499 nt
Filed under: uncultured bacterium
Lineage: Bacteria
Description: partial 16S ribosomal RNA
Rfam family: Bacterial small subunit ribosomal RNA
Source: RNAcentral
GACGAACGCUGGCGGCGUGCCUAAUACAUGCAAGUCGAGCGAAGUUUUUCUGGUGCUUGCACCGGAAAAACUUAGCGGCGCACGGGUGAGUAACACGUAAAGAACCUGCCUCAUAGACUGGGACAACUAUUGGAAACGAUAGCUAAUACCGGAUAAUAGCAUUAACUGCAUGGUUGAUGUUUAAAAGUUGGUUUUGCUAACACUAUGAGAUGGCUUUGCGGUGCAUUAGCUAGUUGGUGGGGUAAAGGCCUACCAAGGCGACGAUGCAUAGCCGACCUGAGAGGGUGAUCGGCCACACUGGGACUGAGACACGGCCCAGACUCCUACGGGAGGCAGCAGUAGGGAAUCUUCCGCAAUGGGCGAAAGCCUGACGGAGCAACGCCGCGUGAGUGAAGAAGGAUUUCGGUUCGUAAAGCUCUGUUGUUAGGGAAGAAUGAUUGUGUAGUAACUAUACACAGUAGAGACGGUACCUAACCAGAAAGCCACGGCUAACUACGUG